GCUUUUUGUACCACCAGUUAAUGACACCAAUUUUCUUAGCUAUCUAAACAAAAACCCUUGACAUUUGUUCUAGCUUGCAAGCUCUCCUUAUUCAAAAACACAUGUGUAUGGCAAAGAGAAAUGCAUUUUUGAGUAUUUUUCUGGCCUCUGUGGGAGAAGUGGAUAGAUCCAUUAAAUGGUAAGUGUUUCUUCCUCACAUGGCCUUAAACUGCCUUUCCCUCAACACGAGCUUGCACUUGUAUUAGUUUCAGUGAAAACUCCAGGCUGCUACCCUGUCCCUUUCUUUCUCUAAGGUUAGUGAAAAUAUUCCAGCUGGGAUUUAUUUUAUAGGUGUGUCCUUUUUCACAAAAAAAUGCAGCAGUCUUAGGCAAACAGGAGAACAGCAGGCAAGAGGAAUUCUUUAGCUAGCCAAUGUUCCAUAUUUUAUUUUCCAACAGAGAAUCUUAACAAUCACCCAUUGUGUUUGAAAGCCACAUGAUGAUAAUAUAAAUUCACUGAUGCAAACCAAAGAGCUACAAACCUUUCUAAAUCAACAUAAACAAAUCUCCAAAUCUGCGUGUAGACCAGCCGACAGGCGUUCCCUCUAUUUUCCUAGGAGCCUUGCCCAAGGCUGGUUGUGCUCAGAGCCACGGGUGAGUGUGAAAGAUCAGAGCAGAGCUGGGGUUCACUGCAGCAAGGCACCAGCUGCCCUCCUCAGCCAGAGAGUUUGGCUUCCUCUUUAGCUAAUGGCAGCUGAACCAUUUCUCCAGCAGUACAUUCAUACUGCCAUGUGGGAACAGAAUGCCAUCUGUGCACGUUGUGUGCCCCACAGAGGUUAUGGUGACAUUUCAGAAACCUCUAGCCCUCUUCCCAGAACAUUAUUCUAGUCUGUGAGCCUCUAUUAUUGCAGCAUAGCUAGUCUGGAGGCUCAGGGUAGGGUGUGCUGCUGAAGAGCACAGGGUCUGGGAUUCAUAAGUCCCAUCUUCAGGCUGUGACCAACAUACUCUUGUGUUUUAUGGAAUAUCAUUGCACACUUCUCUGCUUCCUGUUUUCCAUCAGUAAAGUGAAAGAUUGCUAUGUUUGGUCAAUUUAUAAACAGGCAGGACAGAGCACACCUACUGAGGAAACUGAGUCGCUCAGUAUACCUCUAAUGCACUUCAGGUAUUGCAACAUUAAAGGGCACUUACUGCACAAACUCUUCUCCGCAGAAGUAAGAGAUCUAAACCAAUUAUUUAUACUACAUGCCUUCCUUUGUACUCUGCAUCUCAACACCAUAUAUGAAUUCCACUCCCUUGUCACCAAGUGUUGUCUAGACAGUGGUUGAUUCUAAUAUGAUCA
RNAcentral lists this long non-coding RNA (1317 nucleotides) under Cyanistes caeruleus (blue tit). Its description in RNAcentral is "lncRNA (ENSCCEG00000009642.1)". Lineage: Eukaryota; Metazoa; Chordata; Aves; Passeriformes; Paridae. The record is from RNAcentral.